GACGAACGCUGGCGGCGUGCCUAACACAUGCAAGUCGUACGGGACUAAGGGGGCAACUCUUUAGUUCAGUGGCAGACGGGUGCGUAACACGUGAGGAACUUGUCCAACGGUGGGGGAUAGCCGGCCCAACGGCCGGGUAAUACCGCUUACGCUCGUUUGGGGGCAUCCCUGGACGAGGAAAGCAGCCGCAAGGUUGCGCCGAUGGAGAGUCUCGCGGCCUAUCAGCUUGUUGGCGGGGUCACGGCCCACCAAGGCGACGACGGGUAGCUGGUCUGAGAGGAUGAUCAGCCACAUUGGGACUGAGACACGGCCCAGACUCCUACGGGAGGCAGCAGUGGGGAAUAUUGCGCAAUGGCCGCAAGGCUGACGCAGCGACGCCGCGUGUGGGAUGACGGUCUUCGGAUUGUAAACCACUGUCAGGGGGAACGAAUACCAGGCGUCGAAUAGGCGACCUGGGGUGACGGUACCUCCAAAGGAAGCACCGGCUAACUCCGUGC
RNAcentral lists this ribosomal RNA (497 nucleotides) under uncultured bacterium. RNAcentral's name for it is "bacterial SSU rRNA". It matches the Rfam family "Bacterial small subunit ribosomal RNA", at positions 28 to 508 of the family's 1533-position model. The record is from RNAcentral.